This 293-nucleotide ribosomal RNA is filed under the name uncultured bacterium. RNAcentral describes it as "partial 16S ribosomal RNA". The record is from RNAcentral.
GGACUACCAGGGUAUCUAAUUCAGUUCGCUCCCCACGCUUUCGCGCCUCAGCGUCAGGGACAGCCCAGAAGGCCGCCUUCGCCACCGGUGUUCCUCCGGAUCUCUACGCAUUUCACCACUACACCCGGAAUUCCACCUUCCUCUACUGCCCUCACAGCUUGGCGGUUUUGGAAGACCUGUUCGAGUUAAGCCCGAACCUUUCACCCCCAACCUACCAAGCCGCCUACGCGCUCUUUACGCCCAGUAAAUCCGGACAACGCUCGCCCCCUACGUAUUACCGCGGCUGCUGGCAC